RNAcentral lists this long non-coding RNA (942 nucleotides) under Helianthus annuus (common sunflower). RNAcentral describes it as "hypothetical non coding rna". Lineage: Eukaryota; Viridiplantae; Streptophyta; Magnoliopsida; Asterales; Asteraceae. The record is from RNAcentral.
UUUCUUUUCUUCUUUCUUUCUACUUUCCUCUUCCUCAUUCUCUCUUCUCUUGUUUUCCUCAGCUUCAUUGAUUUUAUCCAUUUCCAGAUUUUCACUUAGAGCUUCCGCCACAACAGUCAACUCUUCCACAUUUACCUCUUCAAACAAAUCUCCAAACCCUUCUUCAAUGAUCUCAGCAAUGAACGCUUGUGAAACAAUAGUAGUAGUUAUUUCUUCCAUUACAAUCCCCCAGUCGUGUGGUUCAGUAAUGGCUUGAAGGGGUUGAACAACUAAAGCGUUAUGAGGAGUAGGAGUGAGGUUAUCAGAUGAGGUAGUUGUAGAAGUGGUAGAAGUUGUAUUGGAUGGUGUUGGAUUGUUGUUGGAUCUUGCUGAGCUUCCUUGACCAUUGCUGCCUUCUCUAUUCUAUCUUUCUCUCUUUGGUUUUCAGCAUUCUCUUGCGGAAUAACCAUAGAUGCCACAGUUGUAGCAUGUAACACCCCGAAAACGGGUUUGGUAAUCAAACCACGUUAACAUUUAUGAACGGACAACAUGGGGCGACGAACAAGGUUCUUCAAGCUAACCCUAAUCUACAAAAUUUCUCAAAUUGAAGGUCCAAAUCAAUCCCAAAUCAAAAUCUGAGCACGAAUUAGUGAUCUCCACUGAAAAAGGAGUCACAAGUUUGGCGCUUAACAAGCUAGGUGGAAGCUUGUGGAUAAAGUGGGUCAAACGGAGCGAGUAUGGAAAGAAAAGUGUGGUAUGGAUGCAAGGUAAAUUUCUAGUACCGGAGGACGAUCAAGCUCAAUGAAGAACCGAACACGAUCAAGAAACAAGCUUCCGCAUGACGUCUCGUUGUUACUUUUAAAUGACGAACUUAUUUACAUUAUGUUGUAAACUUUUAAAUUGUAAAAGGUUUUAAUAAACCCGUAUUUCCGAUGUAUAUGUAAACUUAAUACAUGAUCCUUU